Molecule: ribosomal RNA, 433 nt
Filed under: uncultured bacterium
Lineage: Bacteria
Description: partial 16S ribosomal RNA
Rfam family: Bacterial small subunit ribosomal RNA
Source: RNAcentral
AGCGAACGCUGGCGGCAGGCCUAACACAUGCAAGUCGAACGAACUCUUCGGAGUUAGUGGCGGACGGGUGAGUAACACGUGGGAACGUGCCUUUUGGUUCGGAAUAACUCAGGGAGACUUGUGCUAAUACCGAAUGUGCCCUUCGGGGGAAAGAUUUAUCGCCAUUAGAGCGGCCCGCGUCUGAUUAGCUAGUUGGUGAGGUAACGGCUCACCAAGGCGACGAUCAGUAGCUGGUCUGAGAGGAUGACCAGCCACACUAGGACUGAGACACGGCCCAGACUCCUACGGGAGGCAGCAGUGGGGAAUCUUGCGCAAUGGGCGAAAGCCUGACGCAGCCAUGCCGCGUGAAUGAUGAAGGUCUUAGGAUUGUAAAAUUCUUUCACCGGGGACGAUAAUGACGGUACCCGGAGAAGAAGCCCCGGCUAACUUCGUG